RNAcentral lists this ribosomal RNA (480 nucleotides) under Triticum aestivum (bread wheat). Its description in RNAcentral is "partial small subunit ribosomal RNA". Lineage: Eukaryota; Viridiplantae; Streptophyta; Magnoliopsida; Poales; Poaceae. The record is from RNAcentral.
AUGGCGACGGGCGAGGAGGCGAGGGAGCGCAGCGCGGAGUCGGUGGAGAUGGUGCCGUCGUGGCGUGAGCAGCUGACGGUCCGGGCCUUGGUGGUGAGCGCGCUCCUGGCCGUGCUCUUCAGCGUCAUCGUCGUGAAGCUGAGCCUCACCGCGGGGAUCAUCCCCUCGCUCAACAUCUCCGCGGGGCUGCUUGGCUUCUUCUUCGCCCGCCUCUGGGCGGCCGCCGAGGCCAGGCUGGGCCUGCCCCGCCGCCCCUUCACGCGGCAGGAGAACACCGUUAUGCAGAGCUGCGUCGUCGCCGCCUACGGCAUCGCCUUCAGCGGUGGAUUCGGCUCCUACAUGUUUGCCAUGAGCAGCAGGAUCGCCGGCCAGGCGACCGAGGCGAAUGACGCCAUGAACGUCAAGGACCCCAGCUUGGGGUGGAUGAUCGGGUUCCUCUUCCUCGUUUGCUUCGUCGGCCUCUUUGUCAGGAGAACCCUG